Chlorocebus sabaeus (green monkey) is the source of this 245-nucleotide long non-coding RNA. RefSeq lists it as uncharacterized. Lineage: Eukaryota; Metazoa; Chordata; Mammalia; Primates; Cercopithecidae. The record is from RefSeq and is a predicted model, not a curated record.
UGUGAUUGGCUCCGCGGUGCCCCGCCCUCACUGGGCUCGGCGUGCUCCUGCGCGUCCGGCCCCAGCGGCGGCCUGGGAAUCUACGUCACCCGAAAAGUGGCUAUAAACGCCCGUGCAUGGGUUGCACUUCUUUCUUCACUCAGGACACUAGUCCUCCCACGUCUGAGACCGACGUCGCCAGGACCGCGGGGUCGGGGGGACUCGGCUGUCCCCCGUCUUUCAAAUAAAGCUGUUUGGCUAACUCA